GGUCUUCUGCUCUACCGGUGGGUAUGGGCGAAGGAGAGGAUUCCCGGCGGACAUUGAUCCAAAAUUAUUUUGCAGUUGCCUGUGAGUAUACUGACAACAUUUGUAUUAUCGUGUAAACUGACAUUGGAAUAUUUUUUAAAAAACCUCUUCAUUUAUCUAUUUCAGAGUUUUACAUCCUGUUGAUGUAUAUCCCCAGGCCCGUUUGUACAGUUCGUUCCCCCCUGUUUUAUCCUGUUGGGUUACCGCAAAUAUUUGACCCUUUUAUCCAACUCUACCAUGGGCGACCUACUGGAGAUGUGGACCUGACCCUCCGCCAUGUAGCAGACAACCCCCUCAGGUCCUGCGGUGUAUCUUCCCAAGUGGCGUGGAUGUGAGGAGACACGACAUUUCACCUGAUGUUCCAUGGGCGACCUACUGGUGAUGUGGACCUGACCCUCCGCCAUGUAGCAGACAACCCCCCUCAGGUCCUGCGAUGUAUCUUCCCAAGUGGCGUGGAUGUGAAGAGACACGACAUUUCAACUGAUGUUCCAUGGCCGACCUACUGGUGAUGUGGACCUGACCCUCCGCCAUGUAGCAGACAACCCCCCCUCAGGUGAGAUGUAUUGCCCAAAACUCCCAUGUCCAAAAUCACCCCGACAUGUCCAAAGUGCAGCCCUCCGGCAUUUGCAAGACUGCACAUCCAAACAUUCCCUGAAACAGCAAUGCUAGUCAGGGAAUGUUUGGAUGUGUAGUGAUGCAAGUGCAGGAGGGUUGCAUUUGGGCCGCUGUAACCCGCUUGUGUUGUGUGGACUGUUG
Molecule: long non-coding RNA, 795 nt
Organism: Pseudophryne corroboree (corroboree frog)
Lineage: Eukaryota; Metazoa; Chordata; Amphibia; Anura; Myobatrachidae
Exons: 3
Source: RefSeq, a predicted model, not a curated record